GACGAACGCUGGCGGCGUGCUUAACACAUGCAAGUCGAACGGAAAGGCCCUGCUUUUGUGGGGUGCUCGAGUGGCGAACGGGUGUGUAACACGUGAGUAACAUGCCCUUGACUUUGGGAUAACUUCAGGAAACUGGGGCUAAUACCGGAUAGGAGCUCCUGCUGCAUGGUGGGGGUUGGAAAGUUUCGGCGGUUGGGGAUGGACUCGCGGCUUAUGAGCUUGUUGGUGGGGUAGUGGCUGACCAAGGCUGUGACGGGUAGCCGGCCUGAGAGGGUGGCCGGCCCCGUUGCGACUGAAAUACGACCCAGACUCCUACGGGAGGCAGCAGUGCGGAAUAUUGCACAACGGGCGGAAGCCUGAUGCAGCACCGCCGCGUGCCGGAUGUCGGCCUUCGGGUUGUAAACCACUUUCGCCUGUGACGAAGCGUGAGUGACGGUAAUGGGUAAAGAAGCACCGGCUAACUACGUG
RNAcentral lists this ribosomal RNA (468 nucleotides) under uncultured bacterium. RNAcentral's name for it is "partial 16S ribosomal RNA". It matches the Rfam family "Bacterial small subunit ribosomal RNA", at positions 28 to 507 of the family's 1533-position model. The record is from RNAcentral.